This 662-nucleotide long non-coding RNA is filed under the name Homo sapiens (human). RNAcentral describes it as "HSALNT0323604". The record is from RNAcentral. Lineage: Eukaryota; Metazoa; Chordata; Mammalia; Primates; Hominidae.
GAUGGCAGCAGCAGACACACAGGGUGGUUAAGAACAACAAACACAGGUCUCAUGAAUAUAACACGAUGCCCAGCACAUAGAAAGCAUACAAUAAGUGUUUGUUGGAUAACUGUGGACAGUUCAGUCGACCAGCAAAUUCCUCUUAGGACUCUAGAUGCACGGAGAGUGGCCAGAUUAAUACAGACUGGCAAAAGAAGAACUUGGCAAAGUGAUUUGAUCACACACUUCUCACCCUCACAUCUCCUGACAGUUCCCCUAAUCCCUGCCCCACUUCCCCGCCAUGGGCUUCCAUCAGGAAACUCCUUGAUAUCAUCUUCGAGAAGAAAACUGAGGCAUAGAACAUUUGGGAAUGAAUCUAAGACUACACAUCUAGAAUAGCAGAGUUACAGGAAUGCAGAUGUGAUUCCUAUGGAUGAGGGUAACCUAGAGGCUAGAAGAACAAUAGGACAGAAGAAGCCUGGGUCCCUGAACAACCUUGUGGAGCAUAGACACCUACGUGGCCUGGACUGCCAGCUCACAAUGGGCCUCUCUGUGAGAGAAGGAAACUUCCCUCUUGUUUAAGCAACUGUGCUUUUGAGAAUCUCUUGGUCUAUACCCUAAUGAAUAAGGCCAUCAUAAAUGGAUAUCAAAGUAAGGAAAUUUGUGUAAAUGAUUUAAUAAAA